RNAcentral lists this ribosomal RNA (468 nucleotides) under uncultured bacterium. RNAcentral describes it as "partial 16S ribosomal RNA". It matches the Rfam family "Bacterial small subunit ribosomal RNA", at positions 28 to 507 of the family's 1533-position model. The record is from RNAcentral.
GACGAACGCUGGCGGCGUGCUUAACACAUGCAAGCCGAACGGAAAGGCCCUGCUUUUGUGGGGUGCUCGAGUGGCGAACGGGUGAGUAACACGUGAGUAACCUGCCCUUGACUUUGGGAUAACUUCAGGAAACUGGGGCUAAUACCGGAUAGGAGCUCCUGCUGCAUGGUGGGGGUUGGAAAGUUUCGGCGGUUGGGGAUGGACUCGCGGCUUAUCAGCUUGUUGGUGGGGUAGUGGCUUACCAAGGCUUUGACGGGUAGCCGGCCUGAGAGGGUGACCGGCCACAUUGGGACUGAGAUACGGCCCAGACUCCUACGGGAGGCAGCAGUGGGGAAUAUUGCACAAUGGGCGGAAGCCUGAUGCAGCAACGCCGCGUGCGGGAUGACGGCCUUCGGGUUGUAAACCGCUUUCGCCUGUGACGAAGCGUGGGUGACGGUAAUGGGUAAAGAAGCACCGGCUAACUACGUG